CCCCACUUAGCUCAGCCUGGUAGAGCUUCCGACUGUAGUUGUCGGCUUAGGGCUGAAUAACAGUAGUCUACUAGGCAUACAGAAAUCGGGUUGUCGAAGGCUCAAAUCCUUCAGUGGGGA
Molecule: transfer RNA, 120 nt
Organism: Candidatus Nitrosopelagicus brevis
Lineage: Archaea; Thermoproteati; Nitrososphaerota
Rfam family: tRNA
About the family: Transfer RNA (tRNA) molecules are approximately 80 nucleotides in length. Their secondary structure includes four short double-helical elements and three loops (D, anti-codon, and T loops). Further hydrogen bonds mediate the characteristic L-shaped molecular structure. tRNAs have two regions of fundamental functional importance: the anti-codon, which is responsible for specific mRNA codon recognition, and the 3' end, to which the tRNAs corresponding amino acid is attached (by aminoacyl-tRNA synthetases). tRNAs cope with the degeneracy of the genetic code in two manners: having more than one tRNA (with a specific anti-codon) for a particular amino acid; and 'wobble' base-pairing, i.e. permitting non-standard base-pairing at the 3rd anti-codon position.
Source: Rfam